RNAcentral lists this ribosomal RNA (446 nucleotides) under uncultured bacterium. RNAcentral describes it as "partial 16S ribosomal RNA". It matches the Rfam family "Bacterial small subunit ribosomal RNA", at positions 338 to 795 of the family's 1533-position model. The record is from RNAcentral.
CCUACGGGAUGCAGCAGUCGAGAAUCAUUCACAAUGGGGGAAACCCUGAUGGUGCGACGCCGCGUGGGGGAAUGAAGGUCUUCGGAUUGUAAACCCCUGUCAUGUGGGAGCAAAUUAAAAAGAUAGUACCACAAGAGGAAGAGACGGCUAACUCUGUGCCAGCAGCCGCGGUAAUACAGAGGUCUCAGGCGUUGUUCGGAAUCACUGGGCGUAAGGCGUGCGUAGGCUGUUUCGUAAGUCGUGUGUGAAAGGCGCGGGCUCAACCCGCGGACGGCACAUGAUACUGCGAGACUAGAGUAAUGGAGGGGGAACCGGAAUUCUCGGUGUAGCAGUGAAAUGCGUAGAUAUCGAGAGGAACACUCGUGGCGAAGGCGGGUUCCUGGACAUUAACUGACGCUGAGGCACGAAGGCCAGGGGAGCGAAAGGGAUUAGAUACCCGUGUAGUC